CUCAUUAAAUACAGUUAUAGUUUUAUUUGAUGGUCUCUUUUUGUCUUUUUUUACCUACUUGGAUAACCGUGGUAAUUCUAGAGCUAAUACAUGCGCAAGGUCCCAAGCGCGGAGGGUAGGGCUUCACGGCUCUAUUCUUGCAUGCGUAGCGGGAUGUAUUUAUUAGGUUAAACAACCAGCAUCUUCAUCAUCUGGUGAUUCAUAGUAACUCUUUCGGAUCGCAUUCAUG
RNAcentral lists this ribosomal RNA (229 nucleotides) under uncultured Comandonia. Its description in RNAcentral is "partial 18S ribosomal RNA". The record is from RNAcentral. Lineage: Eukaryota; Discosea; Longamoebia; Acanthamoebidae.